RNAcentral lists this ribosomal RNA (253 nucleotides) under uncultured bacterium. Its description in RNAcentral is "partial 16S ribosomal RNA". It matches the Rfam family "Bacterial small subunit ribosomal RNA", at positions 524 to 776 of the family's 1533-position model. The record is from RNAcentral.
UACGAAGGGGGCUAGCGUUGCUCGGAAUCACUGGGCGUAAAGCGCACGCAGGCGGCUUCUUAAGUCAGGGGUGAAAUCCUGGAGCUCAACUCCAGAACUGCCUUUGAUACUGAGGAGCUUGAGUCCGGGAGAGGUGAGUGGAACUGCGAGUGUAGAGGUGAAAUUCGUAGAUAUUCGCAAGAACACCAGUGGCGAAGGCGGCUCACUGGCCCGGUACUGACGCUGAGGUGCGAAAGCGUGGGGAGCAAACAGG